CAGGAGAAAAUCCAAGCGACAAAUAUAUAUAUAUGUAUAUGUAUAUAUAUAAUUAAAUAACAAAAAAAAGAUAAAAAAAGAUGAGAGAUCGAGAAGAGAGAGAUGUGACUGUGAGAGGAGAGAGAGUCGAGCAACGUUGACGACUGAGAGAGAAGGGUCUCACCACGUUGUGCGAUGUCGCAGUCGAGAGAGAAAGAAAGAGGAGGAGGGUUGCGCAGGUUGUGCGAUGCGGUGGCACGUGAUCGAAAAAAAAGAGAAGAAGAGAGAGAAGAGUCAUGUUUAGGUAGAGAGAGAAGGAGAAGAAAAAGAAGAAGAAGAAGAAAAGAAAAAAAAAGAAGAGAAAAGAGAAGAGAAGC
RNAcentral lists this long non-coding RNA (356 nucleotides) under Carica papaya (papaya). Its description in RNAcentral is "long non-coding RNA (CPAP_LNC008428)". The record is from RNAcentral. Lineage: Eukaryota; Viridiplantae; Streptophyta; Magnoliopsida; Brassicales; Caricaceae.